RNAcentral lists this ribosomal RNA (467 nucleotides) under uncultured Acidovorax sp. Its description in RNAcentral is "bacterial SSU rRNA". It matches the Rfam family "Bacterial small subunit ribosomal RNA", at positions 916 to 1382 of the family's 1533-position model. The record is from RNAcentral. Lineage: Bacteria; Pseudomonadati; Pseudomonadota; Betaproteobacteria; Burkholderiales; Comamonadaceae.
GGGGCCCGGCACAAGCGGUGGAGCAUGUGGUUUAAUUCGAUGCAACGCGAAAACCUUACCUGGGCUUGACAUCUCUCGGAAUCCGGUAGAAACAUCGGAGUGCCCGCAAGGGAGCCGAGAGACAGGUGCUGCAUGGCUGUCGUCAGCUCGUGCCGUGGGAUGUUGGGUUAAGUCCCGCAACGAGCGCAACCCUUGUCAUUAGUUGCUACAUUCAGUUGGGCACUCUAAUGAGACUGCCGGUGACAAACCGGAGGAAGGUGGGGAUGACGUCAAGUCCUCAUGGCCCUUAUAGGUGGGGCUACACACGUCAUACAAUGGAUGGUACAAAGGGUCGCCAACCCGCGAGGGGGAGCCAAUCCCAUAAAGCCAUUCGUAGUCCGGAUCGCAGUCUGCAACUCGACUGCGUGAAGUCGGAAUCGCUAGUAAUCGUGGAUCAGAAUGUCACGGUGAAUACGUUCCCGGGUCUU